AAAUGAAUAGACGGGGGCCCGCACAAGCGGUGGAGCAUGUGGUUUAAUUCGACGCAACGCGAAAAACCUUACCUGGGUUUGACAUGCCGAGUACCCGAUGGAAACAUUGGGGUGCCCCGUAAGGGGAACUUGGACACAGGUGCUGCAUGGCUGUCGUCAGCUCGUGCCGUGAGGUGUUGGGUUAAGUCCCGCAACGAGCGCAACCCUCACCCUUAGUUGCCAUCAUUAAGUUGGGCACCCUAAGGGAACUGCCGCAGUUAAUGCGGAGGAAGGUGGGGAUGACGUCAAGUCCUCAUGGCCCUUAUAUCCAGGGCUACACACGUGCUACAAUGGACGGUACAAAGGGUCGCGAACCUGUAAGGGGGAGCUAACCCCAGAAAACCGUUCUCAGUUCGGAUUGGAGUCUGCAACCCGACUCCAUGAAGUUGGAAUCGCUAGUAAUCGCGGAUCAGAACGCCGCGGUGAAUACGUUCCCGGGCCUUGUACACACCGCCCGU
This 497-nucleotide ribosomal RNA is filed under the name uncultured bacterium. Its description in RNAcentral is "bacterial SSU rRNA". It matches the Rfam family "Bacterial small subunit ribosomal RNA", at positions 903 to 1397 of the family's 1533-position model. The record is from RNAcentral.